This 74-nucleotide transfer RNA is filed under the name Streptomyces violaceus subsp. violarus. RNAcentral's name for it is "tRNA-OTHER". Lineage: Bacteria; Bacillati; Actinomycetota; Actinomycetes; Kitasatosporales; Streptomycetaceae. The record is from RNAcentral.
GUCAGCAGCGGGGCGACACGAAACCCGCCAAGCGCCUAAGCGCUUGGCCGCGGGUUCGAGUCCUGCCAGGGACA